UUCUCACUGCACUGGCCAUGAGAGAUGUCCAUCACAAGACGUGUAGCAGAAGGAAUGUAUACCUAUCUCUAUGUUUACAGUUACUGUCCUGGGAAAGUCUUAGAAAACUAUGUCAGCAAACUCAGAAGCUGAGUUUUCAGGGCGACAAUUCACUGCUGGACAAGUCCCUUGAAAAACUGCCCAAUACAUCUCUUUGAGGAUUUAGAUGUAGUGUCCAUGCACUGACAUAUUAAAGAUGUGUCUAUGUUGGAUUUUGCAUGCCAAGCUGUAAAGAUUCCUGAAUCCAAGUUAAAACUAUGUGAAGUCUGAUUGACAACACAUUUUAGAUAAUUUCGCCUUUUGGAGGCCUAUCCAUCAAUGUCUAAACCUGUAUUUUAUGGAAUGGGCUGUGCCUAUAGCUCUAGACCUAGGUUAUGAGCACAAUGUGGUUAUUAUGUCCUGUUGAGAAGUGUAUUACACAAUGGUGUCAAAAGGAAUAGCUGUAAUGUGAUGCAAUACUCAUGGAACUUCUUCCUGCUUUCUCAAAAUCUGUGAUGUUUACAUCUUGAGUGGUACUUUAAUUUUCUGAACUGCAGGCCAGAUUGGUGAUUUAUGUCAUACAACAAACAUGGCAGAAGUUGAAGUGUUGGGUCAAAUCUUGGCUCUGUAUUUCCACAACAACACAAUUAUCCUUCUUAUUUUGUGUCCGAAACAGAACAUGCUUGGACUGAAAUAUGCUAAAGAAUGAUGUGUCUGGGCAGAAGUUACACAUUCACAUGGUCCCUCUCAACCAGAUUGUGCAUUUUGGAAAUAGGAAUCCAGAACUUUGGGCCACUAUCACAGGGACAAAUAGAAAAAUCUACCAGGAAGCUGGCCACAGAGGCAAUAUAAAAGCGGCUGUGGACUCUGUCAAGCAAAGAACAUCUGUUCCUUUGAAUUCCAGUACUGUUCCAUGAGUUACAUGCGAAGGAUCCCAAAGGACUGGAAGCCAUCUGUCAUGUUACACGGACAGAAAUGCACCUACCUCUGGGGCUCAGACACAGUAACAAUUCUCUCAGUAUCCAAGACAACUAUGCAACACUUGGUGAGUGGGAUGCAAUUAUCCAUAACAAAAUUUAGCCAAAGGUUUGUGAUUGCAGCACAUUUUCCUAUAUUUUAUUACUAUGAUGAUUAAUGAUUAAUAUUUUUAAUCUGUCAUUACAUUAUUAUUCCAGGAUGACCAUCACUGGAUUUUUUUAACAGCUUAGAAGAGUGUUUUAUGCAAGAGUCAGUUUGGUAUUAGUGACAGUCAGGUCUCUUUUCACUGCCUGAGAAACCUUGUGAGAAAUGUAGAAAUUGGAGACUGUAUUGUGGUGACCAUCUAUUGCAAGAAUUAGAAAAUCAGAAGCAGAUUUUAUAAGGCUGCAGUAGACCUUUAUUUUCUGUUGACUUGUCUACAUUAUUUUAAAAUGUAUUAAAAAAAGUUCGGGGAUGAAUUUCCAUUGAUUCAGAUCACAAGUUGCACUGAUCUGAACAGGGCUUAAAUCUACUAUAUGCUUAAAUUUACUAUAUGCUUUCAUUUGCUAGAAGAACACUUAAAGACAUAUCAAAAGUAACAUAAUUUGAUCAGGAAACUAUUCCUGGUGGGGGAAAACAACCCAAGAAAACACAUAAUAGAUAUUUGGAAAACAAUUGUGCCUAGUACAACAGCAAACUGACAUCUGAGUUGGUAGGGCAGGUUCUGGAAUACUGUGUUGGGUCUGAGACUGAUACUACAACCUAAAUUUGUCACUCAGUUUUAAUGUGCCUCAGUUUUUUGGGAUUAUUCUUCUUUAGGAUAAAUAUUGUUUUUUCAAACAAUAAAAAAAGACUAAACCAGUACAAAAUACAGUAAAUGAUGUUUAGGAAGGAUGUAUGUAGGAAGAAUGUAUAAAGUUGUUUCAUUAAGGAGAAAGAUAGAUAUAACUGUAAUUAGAAUCUAUAUCCACAAAUAUAAUCUACUAGUGGACACUUGCAUAUUUUCAUGUGCUAAGCCAUAAUUUUUCUCUGUAGAAGGAUAUUGAGACAAUGAGUAGAGUUCAUUGUAGCAAAAAGUACAUAAGGAGAAGUAUGUGUUUAGUUGUUUGGGGUUAGCCAAGUCCAUAGAAAGUAAUUGUCAUGCUUUCCCAGAAAGAAAUCUGAGGGACACUUUCAUUCAUCCCAUAUUUUCUUCUUUGGUUUCAUUUCUUGACAAGCUGACAACCAUCACACAAAUUCAAGACUGAAUAAUUCAUUUAUUCUCUUGAAUUUUCUUGGAAUUAGCAUAAAAGCAUUGUCUCCAAUAUGGAUCCAAACAAGAAGAAUAUGAAACCUGUGCAGGUUUCUUAUGUCAUACAUUUGCAUCUGCAUCAGAUAACACUAAUCCAAGUUAACAAUGCUAGCAUGUCUUCAAAUGACCAAUAUUUUAAUAAAAAUAUUUUAUUCAAUAAUAUAUAAUCAUUGUAUUCAUAAUAUAAAAUUAAAUACUGUUUGUUCUGUGAGUACAGAAACAGAAUCAUAGAUUCAUUAAGGCUGGAAAAGACCUCUAAGGUAAUUGAGCCCAGCCGUCAAUGAGUUCACCUGACUCUCUGAGGCUUCCUGUCCUCAGUAAUCCUGGUAUUCUACUGCCCUUUCCUUAUAUCAGGCCCUGGUCAGGAUCUAUGAGAACUCAGGUCCCCCCCGCAUAUUCUUCAGUGCUUUCCCAUCAGCAUACUUAGUUUCUGUCAUGUCAUUAACAUGCCUUAUCUUUCUUCCUUAUUGUGCCUCUUUUAUUUCCUUUACAACACUACCCUUGGUAAAUGAUUUUCUUUAAAGUUGUAGGGAAAUCAUAAUUCUGGCACAUUUAUGUUUCUGCCAAAUGUGAUCAAAAUGGGUUCAAAAGUGAUUAUGGAAGGAAAUGAACACACUCACAAAAAAGAAGUGUAAAUCUCAUUUUGUUAUAAAAUAGGACUCAACCCAUCAGUGUUAGAUGCUGUUGGUUGUGUUGAUCUCAUGUUUCAUUAAUAGCAAAAACUAUCUUUGAUAUUGUUGUAUCUUUUGAGGGACAAUGUGUGUGCCUUCUCUAAACCACAAGAGAACUUGCCACUUUUAUGAAUACUUCAGAAGUACUAGAUGUCUUCUUAGGAGAACAUGGCCAUGGGUUUGAAGGUAGAAAAUUCCAAGUGUUCUUGUUCUUACAAAGGAAAAUCAAAGACUGUAAACGAUUUUAAGGGAAUCAAAAGACAAAAAUGCUAUUCUUGCUGAUAUAUGGAAUACAUAAGAUGUUCUUUCUCCCUCAGAAAUAUUAGAGCAGCACAUAAAUUGACAGGAGAAUAUCUGCUUUAUUUUCAGGCACUGCUAAUGACCUCAGUGGUGGUUGCAUUGUGUUCCACAGAGGAGGCAGGAAGAUUAGGAUGUCAUAUAGAAAGAUUACUUCAGGCUGAAGUACUCAACCUAUCUAUUUAAAAAUACACGUGAUCUCUAAAUGCAACUAAAAAUAUCAAGUUCUUGAUUCAGACACCUUUUCUAAAUGUCAGCAUUGAGCUCAGAUUUCGUACGCAUUUCAUUUUAUAAUCUGGUGUUUAAGUGUAAAUAUUUUACAUCUAUCUUUUGUAUUGUUUGUUACAAAUAAAUCAUCACAGAUAUGAUAGAUCAACUAACUGAUUCCCCUGGAGGGAGUCUGUUGAUUUUUGUGUGACUCAGUCUCUGUGUGACCAGUUCUGAUGUCUUUAGCUAUUCUAGUGUUUCCUCUAUGGGGGAGGUGAAUUUUGAUUACUCAUUUAGUGGCCUAUUAGCAAGACUUGGAAGUUGAAACAGUUUAUAAGACUUGUGUUGAACCUUCUUUCCUUACCAGGCUCAGGGUUUCCUUGUCUGUCUCUUAAGCUGGUGUUUUCAUCCUGAAAGCCAAGACAAGCAUUUCUGUCUUUUGGUUUUCUUUCCAACGGCCCUCAUCUAAAUAGUUGACAUCUGCUGGGCCUUUACCAUGGACUAUUACUGAAUUACAUCUGAUUAUUACAACUCAUUCUGUAUUUGAGUCACUUUCUGACUCCUCUUGGAGCAAAGAUUUGCUGGUUGCUUCCCUUUUCUACCCAAAGGGCACUCUUUUACGGACAAUUCUUCACUGGCUUUUUUUUUUUUUCCAGAGCUGGAGAAGUGAUCAGUAUACACUAGUGCUAUCCCUGUGUGCUGUGAGAAGUGAUCAGUAUUACCAUUAGUGCCGUCUCUGUAUGCUGUAGUGUAUGAUCUAGGGAUCCCACUCUGUUUGCCAAAGCCAAAUACUAAAGUGCAGAAAGAAAGCUCUUAUAAGACAAUGCUAUUUAUUCUGUUUUAGUGGUACAGAAACUUCUCAAUCUAUUAGAAAAAUAACAGCUGGAAGGAGGAAAGAGACAAGUGCCAAAGUCUCCUUUUACUGUAUUCCUACCUUGUAGAGCAGGAGGCAUAUCUCUUAAUAAUAUUCAGAAAGGAAUUCAAGAUUGGCCAAUGUGUGUGGAAAUAAUUGAAAUGUGCCCAUGGCAUUCUGCCAGCUGAGAAAGAUUCCAUAUAAUUUUCACAUCCUCUGUGCUCUCCUUUCAGAAGUCAUGGCAGUUUCUCAAAAAAUUGUCUUACCAUUUGUUUCUUCUGAAGCCCUGUUGAGGUAUUUCUUAGACAUUAAGCCCGCUUUAUCCAUGAAAAAUGUCCAUCAUACAACAGCCAAGCAAAAUCAAGACUGAGAGAUGAAUAAAUAUGUGAGAAAAUGGAGGUUGCAAGCACAGUUUUUUGCUGUUUGCCAGAUGUCCAGAGCUCACACCCUGGAAGUUGAAGCCAGCUGCCCAAAAGGAGUCCCGAGUAUAUAUCAGUAUGUCUCCUACAUGUAUGAUAAUAUCCUGCCUUAAGAAGAUGAUGUGGCCUUGCUAUGGAUUUUGUAACAUGAUGGAAUAGUUGUUGUUUUAGAUGUUGUUACAGAAUGUUGUUAAAUAGAUGUUCCAUUAUUGGAAGAGAUGAGUCAAGGUAGGGGUUGUCCUACCUGGGGAGACAAAUCAUCACCCAUCACUGUCUAACAGCCUCAAGGUGUAUCAGGCCCAGAUAGUGAUUCACAAUUGCCACUUGUGACAAAACAGGUGUUACUGGAGUAAAAAAUACAGUGCUCUUGCAAAGAACAUCUCAAAAGACACAGUGGAGCUGGCUGCAACGGCAAUCAUAAAGGAAAGGUUUCAGCUAAGACCAGGCUGCAAGAGAAAAUCCUGCUCUGCAUUCCAGCAUUUCCCCUGAAGGGAGGAGGGAAGGAAGAAAUCUAAAUAAAGAUGUUCAGUCAGCCCCAUAGAUGGAAUGAAGAAAAAGUCCCUGGAAGGAGUGUCCUGUGAACAGUGUCCAUGAUGCCACCUGCACUUCCACCAAAAUCUGCCUGUUUUUCAUCCAAAUGCAGAACCAUAAUGUUGCCACUUUGACAGAUGUUUCCUCUCUGCUUUACACUUAACAUGAACAUCUUGUGAUUGUCUGCACCAUUAUUGCCCAUUCUGACAACAGAUUUAUGGUGGGACUGUCUUUAUUAAUUUAGAUGUUUGACAUUUCACUGACAAAUCACUGCGGUCUGAUCAAAGAAAAAAAUCAACAGAGAAAUACCUAUCCACUGCUUUGGGUUGGCCCUUUCAGUCAGCCCUUUCAGCUUCACCUCCAGGCCAAGCUGCUGUUCCAGCAUGCUUUAAAAUGUGACAUAGAGCAUAAUGUCCAAAGACAAUGUUCUGAUAUCAUUCUUUUCAUGCUAAACAGUAUCAAUGCUUUGUCAGGUUAGAGCCUUAAUUGUAAAGUUUCAGAAUGACUGUGAAUUUUGUGCAUUUCUGUGCCAAAUAUGCACCAAAUAAUUGGCAUGUACUGCAGAAUGAAGAAGCUCCCCAAUGUAGCCUUGUCGGAAGUUGUAUUUUUUCUCAUAACAGAAACUGAAGUUCCCUUGCUUAGCAUUUGCCCCAUCCCCAUCAGAUACCUGAAGUCUAUGGAAAAGCCUUGCUCCUGUGACUGUCUUUGUGCCCAGGAAUGAGCUCAGUCCCUGCAAUGACAGAUAUGUGACAAUCAAGGAUGAAUGGUGUGUGCACAGGAGAGAGGGGGGCUGCUCUGUGCAGCUGUGAGGUGUCUCGUUACUCUGAGUAUACAUUUGAAGCAGAGUUUGUCCAGCAUUGAAAAUGAAGCAAACACUCCAAAGGAUUUCUUUGCAGUUAAUUUCUUCCAGCUGCAAAAGCAAAGAAAAUCCUGCUUUUCCAUUCUCAACUUAAUCAAUGUCUUGGAUGCCCCCUUUCAGUUCCUAACUACUAAUACUGGGUCCCCUCUCCUAGGCUGGGGAGACCUGCUGACAGACUAACAUUUACAAUUAAAUGUUUCUUCUACAUACCUCAAUAUUAAAAAUUUCUCUACUAGUUAGGGCUUCAAGCCCAUCUGAUGCCUCAGCUUUUCUGUCUUCUCCAGUUCAUAAGACCUCACACUUAUAUUUAUUCACCUUCCUCGUUCUGAAGAUAAAGUAAUUAAUAAAGACUUCAUAGUUCCUUUCUAUUUUCAGUUCCCUCCUCAUGUUCAGCACAUAACCCCAGCACUCUGAAUUUAUAGCAAAAGUAUGAAGCAGGCUCUUUAUCUGCUUUGAUUUCCUCUACCCCUGUCAACUCCCUCAGCUCUAAUCACAGCAGUGACCCCAUUAACUAGAUCAUCAUCUUUUCACCAGUCCCACAGAGACUACUUUCAGUUGAUGAAAAAGUUGGAUGUUGGUACCUGGUGACUCAAUAUACUGUGGCAUCUUUUAAUUAAAACAUGAGUCAUUGUGACAGGCAGGUUGCAGCCACAGAAUUAUUUGCUAUUUCCACCUAAAUGCAAACAAAAACCCAAGGAAAAACACUUAUUUCUUACCAUAAAACACACAGGAUUAUUCUCCCUUAUUCAAAAUAUGAGACUUUUUUGCUACUGCCUCUACUACUGCCUUUGCUACUGUACCUCCUGAGGAAUUUAAAAAGCUGUCAUUGACACAGAGGCAAGGAAUCCUAUGUGAAAGGGGAAAGCAGGGAAUCCCUCUUGAUUACAAUGCACUGGUGGCUUGCUUAGAGCAGCAUGAACUCUUGAUACCUUAAAAUUAACAGAUUACUAUUAUAUGGUGAGCUGUAUAUAAACCUCUUUGCCUACCUAUUUCAUAUGUUUGGUUUUUUAACUGGAUUCUUAUUACAGAGAUGUUGAAAUCUUGGCCACAUCUGAAAAUAACAGUACACUUUACAUUGGAAUAGAUGGAGACAGAAUUUUAGCUGAAGAAUAAUAUAUAGAUGCCACCACCAGAGAACAGGCUUACCUGUAGUAUUACUAUUUGCUGGCACUAGUUAUGGGCUACUGUCAGCAGAUAUGUUUAUUUGAGAUAAACUGACAACAAAACUACCUGUUGUGAAGAUGUAAGAUGGCAGGGAAUCUUGCCUUCCUAUCAGUUUUCCCUGCUAAAACCUUCUCUCUGGUGUACUUCUAUUCCUUUUUGAAAAACCUAUUAAAAGAGCUAUUGAGCAUGCAGUGCUGGAACAUUCAAGCACUAUUUGUAUUACAUUUCAAAAACCACUAGCUGAGAAAAAUAAAUAAAAGCCACCAGCAUGUGAGAUGCAAGGAUCUAGGAGCCAUAUGAGCCACAAUUUUUCUACCUCUGCAACUUUUCAUUGCCAAAGAUGGUGUGGGCCAGAUAGACCUACAACAUCAAGGGUUUCAAACCAACUCUGGUUCAGAAAAGGCCAGCAUAACAAGGCUCAUUUAUUUAAUGCCCCCUGAUGACAGAAGCAGUUACUAUGGCCUCUGCAUAUUUCAGUAUCAAAACUGAAAUGCUGAAUAGUGUUGGAUGCUUUGAACACCCAAGGGCCAAGCAAGGUCAGUCAGUGAUUUAAAUACAAAUGUUUUUGGCAAGCUAACAGCACUGGCUUGUUGAGGAGUUGAAAAGAAUAAUUAAAAAAAAAAAAUCAAAAAAAUCCUACCCUUAUCAAAUGGUUCAGACUAACUCAUUUCUGACUGAGAAAGCAUAGUCACUAAUUAUUGCAAGGGAAUAUGCAUAUUGCAUCUUCCAAAAAUUGAUAUGGCUGAAUUUCACAUCCUACUCAUCAUCUCCUAGCAGAUUUCUCAGUAUUUCCUUAAAAAACCCUUCCUGAGUUGCAUCUGAAUCAUGUAAGUGUUGCGUUAAGACAACUGAUUAUUUAAAACCAGAUUUAAUUUAGCUACUCCUUUUUAAGGAUGCCAAGGCAAGAAUUGUUGUGACCACCCUUAACAAGGCAGACAGACAAAAAAAAGCUGUGGCUUAAUGAGGUUACACAGUAAUUCAUAUAGUCUGGAAAUAAUUUUGUUACCCUUCAUAUGGUAAUGAUCAUCCUUUUUCCCCCCUCUACUUCUUUCCAUCUGUUUAGGGAAGGGAAGUUUUUUAAAUAAGUCCUUUGUGAGGGCUCCCUUUAACCUCUCUUGCCACACCACAUGUUAGGACCCCUGACCCCUACCCUGUGUUUUCCAGCAGUGUGUCCUAACCCUUUAAGACAGUAUUUUCAGAAACAUUGUGUUUUUAUUAAUUUUGAACAUUUUGAGGAAUAUUAGAUAAGAUUUUAUUCAUUUCACAGCCUACACAUUUCAAACAAAUUGCAGACUUAAGAUGCUGGCAUACUGUUUCUCCCACAUCUUGCUGUUCUUUCCCACUAAUCCGCUGGUGAAUGGGUUACUUAUUUUUCUGCUCCUGUAAGACAACUUACUUUAUGAAAUGUAAACAUUGGAAAAAUGUCUUCUGUUUCAGUGCUCCCUAUAAUUUUUUUUUCUUUGUAUAGAAUAAACAUAGAUUUGUUUUUAGAAAGACUCUUUAAUCUAGGUAGAUGAUAUUACUUUACCCAUUUUUCUGAUUCAGAAAGUAAAACCACUGAAUUUUGGUGCACAAGUUUAAUGAAGAAAUUAAGACUUUUGAAGGGUAGCUACAAUUUCUAAUCAUACAGAGUGCCAGGUUUGUACCAGAAUUUGUAAAUGUCUUCUCACAAGCUAAUACACUACUCUUUUUUUAUAAAAUAUAAUUGGCUUUGGAAGACAUUGUACCCCAAUUAAUUUUAAAUUUAAAUUACCCAUUUACCACAUGCCUUGGUGGAGGCAAGGUUUAACAUCCAAGACCAAAGCUUGAACGCACCUGAAAACUCACAACUCAAUAUAUAAAUAUCCCUUAUAUCCUGCAUAUCAGUAGCAUCUUCCUUCAUCUUUUUUUUUCUUCCUCUGCUCUUUCUUUUGUUACUAAUUCCUUCUCCUUUUAAAUGCUUUUUCAUUUUCAUACUUAAUUAAGUACCCUAUCUAACUUCAGUAUUGAGCACAGUAGUGGUACCAUAUUAUAUAAUUACAUCUUGCUGGUUUUGGUAUUUUUUCAUUCUUUUUUAAUACAGAGAGGAUUCUUUUAUUCAUCUUACACCUUUCUUUAAUAUGCUUAAAUUGCAUGUGUCUUAGUUUAUAAUUUCAAAGCUACAAAGACAAUGACCUACCAAUUCUAGCAGGUGACCCUGUUUCCAGAGUUCUGAAAAGGUGAUACAACAGGAGAAGUGACAUGCUGAGAUAAAGAUGUCUACUGAGAGCAUGUCAUAAAAUUCAAGCCAGAUUCCCUGUGAUAUAAUCCAAAGCCCUUCACUGGUCCCAGAAGUGACUUUUAAGAAAGAUUAAAAUAUGUAUUGUAAGACUUUACCAGUCCCUUGGGAAAGCUUUGACGCUGCCAUCUUUUCCAGUAUAUGUACUCAAACAAAAGCUACUUAAAGUGCAUGUAUGUGAACCACUUGUGCUGCAUGUGGAAACAGCAGCAUGUAUGACUGAGAACUUGAGAAGUCACCUCAGGUCCUGGCACUGCAGGAAUAAAAAGUGUAUCCAGACAACCCAGAAAAAGAAGCCUGGUUGAAAAUGGAUCUCUAUGAACACAACAUACAUGAGUUGCAGAAAUCUGUAUGAAUAUUCUCCUCCAGGAGGCUUUUCAGGCAUUUGACUUUCUGUACUUUGGCUCCUCUCUCACUUCUUGGAAUUUUCACACAAAAGUUGACAGCACAUUAAAAAUGAACACAGCUUUAUUUUCUAGAUUCAGAUCUUAUUAAAUGUGCAUAUUAAAUGUCGGCAGAAUGUUUAAAAAAAUAUUGCGAUAUUAGUGUAUCAUAUAUAUCAGCAACAUACUUAGCAGACAAAAAUGCUAGUCAGAUUACAUGACAGUAUGAGUCAAACAAGUGGUACAUGUAGAAUAGUCAUCUAUUUUCACUCCAUUCUGUUGCCUCAAACUGACAGCAUUAAAUAAAAAAGAAAAA
Non-coding RNA from Cyanistes caeruleus (blue tit), 10223 nucleotides. NCBI's taxonomy places the organism in Eukaryota, Metazoa, Chordata, Aves, Passeriformes, Paridae. The record is from RefSeq and is a predicted model, not a curated record.